Molecule: ribosomal RNA, 494 nt
Filed under: uncultured bacterium
Lineage: Bacteria
Description: partial 16S ribosomal RNA
Rfam family: Bacterial small subunit ribosomal RNA
Source: RNAcentral
AUGAACGCUGGCGGCGUGCCUAAUACAUGCAAGUCGAGCGAACAGACGAGGAGCUUGCUCCUCUGACGUUAGCGGCGGACGGGUGAGUAACACGUGGAUAACCUACCUAUAAGACUGGGAUAACUUCGGGAAACCGGAGCUAAUACCGGAUAAUAUAUUGAACCGCAUGGUUCAAUAGUGAAAGACGGUUUUGCUGUCACUUAUAGAUGGAUCCGCGCCGCAUUAGCUAGUUGGUAAGGUAACGGCUUACCAAGGCGACGAUGCGUAGCCGACCUGAGAGGGUGAUCGGCCACACUGGAACCGAGACCCGGUCCAGACCCCUAGGGGAGGCAGCAGUAGGGAAUCUUCCGAAAGGGGCGAAAGCCUGACGGAGCAACGCCGCGUGAGUGAGGAAGGUCUUCGGAUCGAAAAACUCUGUUAUUAGGGAAGAACAAAUGUGUAAGUAACUAUGCACGUCUGGACGGUACCUAAUCAGAAAGCCCCGGCUAACUACG